RNAcentral lists this ribosomal RNA (306 nucleotides) under uncultured bacterium. RNAcentral describes it as "bacterial SSU rRNA". It matches the Rfam family "Bacterial small subunit ribosomal RNA", at positions 29 to 320 of the family's 1533-position model. The record is from RNAcentral.
AACGAACGCUGGCGGCAGGGUUUAGGCAUGCAAGUCGCACGGGAAAGCCGCAAGGUGAGUACAGUGGCGUAAGGGUGAGUAAUAGGUAGCUGACAUAUCCUUUGGACGCGGAUAAUUCCUCGAAAGGGGUUGUAAUACGCGAUGAGACCACGGGCUUCACGGAGCCUGGGGUCAAAAGUCGGGGAUCCUUCGGGACCUGGCGGCCAAGGGAGUGGGCGACCUCCGAUUAGCUAGUUGGCGGGGUAACGGCCCACCAAGGCGACGAUCGGUAGGGGGUGUGAGAGCAUGGCCCCCCACACGGUACGU